UGGCGGCAGGCCUAACACAUGCAAGUCGAGCGGCAGCACAAGGGAGCUUGCUCCUGAGGUGGCGAGCGGCGGACGGGUGAGUAAUGCCUAGGGAUCUGCCCAGUCGAGGGGGAUAACAGUUGGAAACGACUGCUAAUACCGCAUACGCCCUACGGGGGAAAGGAGGGGACCUUCGGGCCUUCCGCGAUUGGAUGAACCUAGGUGGGAUUAGCUAGUUGGUGAGGUAAUGGCUCACCAAGGCGACGAUCCCUAGCUGUUCUGAGAGGAUGAUCAGCCACACUGGGACUGAGACACGGCCCAGACUCCUACGGGAGGCAGCAGUGGGGAAUAUUGCACAAUGGGCGAAAGCCUGAUGCAGCCAUGCCGCGUGUGUGAAGAAGGCCUUCGGGUUGUAAAGCACUUUCAGUAGGGAGGAAAGGGUAUUACUUAAUACGUAAUACCUGUGACGUUACCUACAGAAGAAGGACCGGCUAACUCCGUGCCAGCAGCCGCGG
RNAcentral lists this ribosomal RNA (494 nucleotides) under marine sediment bacterium ISA-2729. RNAcentral describes it as "bacterial SSU rRNA". It matches the Rfam family "Bacterial small subunit ribosomal RNA", at positions 37 to 520 of the family's 1533-position model. The record is from RNAcentral.